RNAcentral lists this ribosomal RNA (784 nucleotides) under uncultured marine bacterium. RNAcentral describes it as "bacterial SSU rRNA". It matches the Rfam family "Bacterial small subunit ribosomal RNA", at positions 14 to 794 of the family's 1533-position model. The record is from RNAcentral.
UGAUCCUGGCUCAGGAUGAACGCUAGCGGCAGGCCUAACACAUGCAAGUCGAGGGGUAACAGGAAAGCUUGCUUUCGCUGACGACCGGCGCACGGGUGCGUAACGCGUAUGCAACCUACCUCAUACUGGAGGAUAGCCCCUGGAAACGGGGAUUAAUACUCCAUAGUAUCACGAAUUCGCAUGUUUUUGUGAUUAAAGUUUUUCGGUAUGAGAUGGGCAUGCGUCCCAUUAGCUUGUUGGUGAGGUAACGGCUCACCAAGGCAACGAUAGGUAGGGGGCCUGAGAGGGUGGUCCCCCACACUGGUACUGAGACACGGACCAGACUCCUACGGGAGGCAGCAGUGAGGAAUAUUGGUCAAUGGAGGCAACUCUGAACCAGCCAUGCCGCGUGAAGGAUGACGGCCCUAUGGGUUGUAAACUUCUUUUAUAGAGGAAGAAACUUGUCUACGUGUAGACAACUGACGGUACUCUACGAAUAAGGAUCGGCUAACUCCGUGCCAGCAGCCGCGGUAAUACGGAGGAUCCAAGCGUUAUCCGGAUUCAUUGGGUUUAAAGGGUCCGUAGGCGGGUCUUUAAGUCAGUGGUGAAAGCCGACAGCUCAACUGUCGAACUGCCAUUGAUACUGGAGACCUUGAGUACAAAUGAAGUAGGCGGAAUGAGUCAUGUAGCGGUGAAAUGCAUAGAUAUGACUCAGAACACCGAUUGCGAAGGCAGCUUACUAACAUGUAACUGACGCUGAGGGACGAAAGCGUGGGGAGCGAACAGGAUUAGAUACCCUGGUAGU